GGAGACGGGGGCUUCAUCUGCAAUUUAUGAAAUUUUAGGGGGCUGCCUACAAUUAAAGAAUAUGGGUGGUUUUGCAAUUUUAAAUUAAGGGCUGCUCCGUAAUUUUAGAAAUUUGGAGGGGCCGCCCGCAAUAAAGAAUAUGGGGUCAGUUUGCAAUUUUUGAAAAAGGACCUGUUCCGUAAUUUACGAAAUUAAGGGACUCUGUUGGAAAUUUUAAACUAGGGUCAAUUUGCAAUUUUGAAAAGGUAGUUUUGAAUUUAAUUUCAAAAUGGUUUUAAAUUUGUUUUUAAAUGUGUUUGACCUAAAAUUUCAAAUUGGACCCGUUUAAAAUUUUAAUUUAAAUUGACGAUUUUUAUAUUUUCGUUAAAAUAUGAUUUUAACUUAAAUAUUAAAUUUGACCCUAAAUUGAAUUUUAUUUUAUUUAGGAGUUUCAUCUUAUAUUAAAAUAUUAAUUCAAUUUAAAUUAAAGUUUGACUUUAAU
RNAcentral lists this long non-coding RNA (481 nucleotides) under Olea europaea (common olive). RNAcentral's name for it is "long non-coding RNA (OEUR_LNC010468)". Lineage: Eukaryota; Viridiplantae; Streptophyta; Magnoliopsida; Lamiales; Oleaceae. The record is from RNAcentral.